CGGAUCUAUUGACGCAUUCUGUCCAUAAAGCAACAUUAGGGUAGGCGACAUUUAACGUAUAUAUCUAUGGACGCUAACUAGUAUUCACGUCGUAUCAUGCUCAACUCUUAAUACUCUUUUACGCACUUUGAGAGUGUUUGCGUUAUUUCAGAGAGAUAUUUAAGCACAUAUGAAGUAACAGUGCCAUCUGUGUACUAUAGCUACACAAUGCAGCAUUUAGCUCGCUCGUAAACAUCGCUGCUGUCCUCAGAUCAUUGUCUGAGCAGAAGUUUCAUCAUUAGCCCUGCCUGUCAGAUGCUCUUCAUCUCAGGAGCUGUAUUUUUAGAUGCUUGAUAACAGAUAUAAGGUGAGUUAAUAGAACACAGCCAGGAACUCUUCUGCGCGAGUCAGCGUGACGUGCGUGCGCGGGCUCAUCAUUUGAAUUAAAUAACGGACACAAGCAACGGGCGGAACGGUAAUGAAAGUUUCGCUGGAAUCUCCAAUUGAAAACAUCAUCGUGUGCGCUUAGACUUCUGUUCCAGUUCUGACUACACACCACUCUGCUUAUGUGGAUCACUGACUACUAUGUUCUCUGAAGUGGGGGAAACCGGAGCACCUGGAGGAAACCCACGCAAACUCCACACAGAGACGCCAACUGAUCCAGCCAAGGCUCGAACCAACGACCUUCUUGCUGUGAGGCGCCACUGCAGCGCAGUACCAGAAGCAGGUGCAGCCAAACUGCGACACAACAGCCACGGAAUUUACAGGGCCGUGAGAGAUCACCUGUACGGUCUGGCGGUGGCAGACGCAGAGCGGAAAAACUAUCUGAUGCUUUUGUUGUUGUUAAUGUUAAAUUGACCAAUACAUGUUUUGUCAUUACUUUUGUCU
This is a non-coding RNA of Danio rerio (zebrafish), 867 nucleotides long. NCBI's taxonomy places the organism in Eukaryota, Metazoa, Chordata, Actinopteri, Cypriniformes, Danionidae. The record is from Ensembl.